GACGAACGCUGGCGGCGUGCCUAAUACAUGCAAGUAGAACGCUGAAGCGAGGAGCUUGCUCUUCUUGGAUGAGUUGCGAACGGGUGAGUAACGCGUAGGUAACCUGCCUGGUAGCGGGGGAUAACUAUUGGAAACGAUAGCUAAUACCGCAUAAAAUGGCUUAUCGCAUGAUAAUCCAUUGAAAGGUGCAAAUGCAUCACUACCAGAUGGACCUGCGUUGUAUUAGCUAGUUGGUGGGGUAACGGCCCACCAAGGCGACGUUACAUAGCCGCCCUGAGAGGUGGUCCACCCACCCUGGACCGGGGCCACGCCCCAGAUCCCUCCGGGAGGAGGCGGUGGGGAUUUUUGGACAAUGGGCGAAGGCCUACCGCGGCACUCCGGGGUGGUUGAGGAAGGUUUUGGGUUUUUAAGGCCCGUUUUUUGGGAAGAACGAGUGGGAGGUUAGAACCUUGCCGUUGUGACGGUACCUUAAGAGAAAGCGCCGGCUAACUUCGUG
Molecule: ribosomal RNA, 496 nt
Filed under: uncultured bacterium
Lineage: Bacteria
Description: partial 16S ribosomal RNA
Rfam family: Bacterial small subunit ribosomal RNA
Source: RNAcentral